UUAAAUAUAGUUUAAAAUAAAAACAUUAUAUUUUCAUUAUAAAAAUAAUUUUUAUAAUUUAUUUAAA
RNAcentral lists this transfer RNA (67 nucleotides) under Crematogaster teranishii. RNAcentral's name for it is "tRNA-Glu". The record is from RNAcentral. Lineage: Eukaryota; Metazoa; Arthropoda; Insecta; Hymenoptera; Formicidae.